GGGGAUAACCCGCCGAAAGGUGGGCUAAUACCGGAUGUGGUUCUCUCUCGCAUGAGAGAGCGACCAAAGGCGGGGAUUCUUCGGAACCUGUCGCUUCAGGAGGGGCCCGCGUCCCAUCAGCUAGUUGGUGAGGUAACGGCUCACCAAGGCUUACGGGUAGCUGGUCUGAGAGGAUGGUCAGCCACACUGGGACUGAGACACUGCCCAGACUCCUACGGGAGGCUGCAGUCGAGGAUCAUUUGCAAUGGGCGAAAGCCUGACAGUGCGACGCUGCGUGGAGGAUGAAGGCCUUCGGGUUGUAAACUCCUGUCAUUCGGGAACAAUAGCAGGGGAAUUAAUAUAUCUUCUGUUUGAUGGUACCGGAAGAGGAAGCCACGGCUAACUCUGUGCCAGCAGCCGCGGUAAUACAGAGGUGGCGAGCGUUGUUCGGAUUUACUGGGCGUAAAGGGUGCGUAGGCGGCUUUGUGUGUCGGAUGUGAAAUCCCACUGCACAACGGUGGAACUGCAUUCGAAACUGCAGGGCUAGAGUACAGAAGGGGAGAGCGGAAUUCUUGGUGUAGCGGUGAAAUGCGUUGAUAUCAAGAAGAACACCGGUGGCGAAGGCGGCUCUCUGGAAUGUUACUGACGCUGAGGCACGAAAGCUGGGGGAGCAAACAGGAUUAGAUACCCUGGUAGUCCCAGCCCUAAACGGUGCGCACUUGGUGUGGGGAGAUUUGACCCUCUCCGUGCCGGAGUUAACACGUUAAGUGCGCCGCCUGGGGAGUACGGCCGCAAGGUUAAAACUCAAAGAAAUUGACGGGGGCCCGCACAAGCGGAGGAGCAUGUGGCUUAAUUCGAUGCCACGCGAAGAACCUUACCUGGGCUUGACAUGCAGCUGCAGUCCCGAUGAAAGUUGGGAUGCCUUCGAGGGUGCUGCACAGGUGCUGCAUGGCUGUCGUCAGUUCGUGCCGUGAGGUGUUUGGUUAAGUCCAGCAACGAACGCAACCCUUGUGUCUAGUUGCCACCUCCGAUGAUGAAUCGGGGAGCACUUUAGACAGACUGCCCGUGUAAGCGGGAGGAAGGUGGGGAUGACGUCAAGUCAGUAUGGCCCUUACGCCCAGGGCUGCACACGUGCUACAAUGGAAGCUACAGAAGGAUGCAAGACCGCGAGGUGGAGCUAAUCCUGAAAAGUUUCCUCAGUUCAGAUUGAAGUCUGCAACUCGACUUCAUGAAG
RNAcentral lists this ribosomal RNA (1213 nucleotides) under metagenome. Its description in RNAcentral is "bacterial SSU rRNA". It matches the Rfam family "Bacterial small subunit ribosomal RNA", at positions 139 to 1325 of the family's 1533-position model. The record is from RNAcentral.